This 253-nucleotide ribosomal RNA is filed under the name uncultured bacterium. RNAcentral's name for it is "partial 16S ribosomal RNA". It matches the Rfam family "Bacterial small subunit ribosomal RNA", at positions 524 to 776 of the family's 1533-position model. The record is from RNAcentral.
UACGAAGGGGGCUAGCGUUGCUCGGAAUCACUGGGCGUAAAGCGCACGUAGGCGGCUUUUUAAGUCAGGGGUGAAAUCCUGGAGCUCAACUCCAGAACUGCCUUUGAUACUGAGAAGCUUGAGUCCGGGAGAGGUGAGUGGAACUGCGAGUGUAGAGGUGAAAUUCGUAGAUAUUCGCAAGAACACCAGUGGCGAAGGCGACUAUCUACACCAUUACUGACGCUGAGGCACGAAAGCGUGGGGAGCAAACAGG